Molecule: ribosomal RNA, 234 nt
Filed under: uncultured bacterium
Lineage: Bacteria
Description: partial 16S ribosomal RNA
Rfam family: Bacterial small subunit ribosomal RNA
Source: RNAcentral
UACGUAGGGGGCAAGCGUUGUCCGGAUUUAUUGGGCGUAAAGAGCGUGUAGGCGGCUUGGUAGGUCCGCUGUGAAAACUCGAGGCUCAACCUCGAGAUGUCGGCGGAAACCACUUGGCUAGAGUCCGGAAGAGGAGAGUGGAAUUCCCGGUGUAGCGGUGAAAUGCGCAGAUAUCGGGAAGAACACCUAUGGCGAAGGCAGCUCUCUGGGACGGUACUGACGCUGAGACGCGAA